UACGGAGGGAGCUAGCGUUGUUCGGAAUUACUGGGCGUAAAGCGCACGUAGGCGGCUUUGUAAGUUAGAGGUGAAAGCCCGAGGCUCAACUCCGGAACUGCCUUUAAGACUGCAUCGCUUGAAUCCAGGAGAGGUGAGUGGAAUUCCGAGUGUAGAGGUGAAAUUCGUAGAUAUUCGGAAGAACACCAGUGGCGAAGGCGGCUCACUGGACUGGUAUUGACGCUGAGGUGCGAAAGCGUGGGGAGCAAACAGG
RNAcentral lists this ribosomal RNA (253 nucleotides) under uncultured bacterium. RNAcentral's name for it is "partial 16S ribosomal RNA". It matches the Rfam family "Bacterial small subunit ribosomal RNA", at positions 524 to 776 of the family's 1533-position model. The record is from RNAcentral.